UGCCAAACACGGCGGUACGGCGGCACACCGCACGGCUUACUAGUAAUUUAAAGAAAUGUGAACGUACUAUGCAUUUGCAAACAUUAUAUAAACAUCUCCCACAACAAUACAAUGAUAAAACCCUAAUAGAAAUUGUUUAACAUCCAUGAAUGUGAAAAGAGUUCACCAGAUCGCAUCACAUUAAUACCUCAUAGCAGUCAACAGCUCGGCGGGAUAAAUGGUUCCUAAAAAAGUCACAUAAUAGUUCAAAAAUCAAACCUAAAUCAACACGUACACUAGUAGGCUGCAACUCAAACUCCACAACCGCAGCUGCCUGAGACUUCUUGAGAUGCGUGACAUCUUGCAUAUGCUGCUGCUCAGGCUAUCUCCCACCAAUAGUCAGCCCUUGAAAUAAAAAAUAGCUAUCAGCAAGCAUAUUUUUCUAUAACAGACUGAAUUUUCCCAAAUAUGGAAAAUUUAUUUGCAUUAAUAAUAAUCAUGCACUGACAACCUGCUCCUAGAUGUAUUUGAGCACUGAGUAUUUCUUCCUAUUCUGACAGGCUCUACCAUUUGGCAGGAGAACAUUAUCGCGGAAUGAAGGCAUGGACGUAUAUGUAACGGUGACGGUGUUCCUUGGAGUUCAGAGUGCAAAAGAGCAUCGCAAGGGGAGCAUGUUGCCUUGAUGAGCAGUUGUGCUAGAUUUCCAGAGUGUAGGUGGCUUGCAUAGGUGUACGGGUUAUUGCAAGCCUUGCUGUAUACAGGAUGCUAUACGGGAUACAUGCUGAACGCUUUGAUAUGGUUCCCCAAUUUAAGUCGGUUGCACUAGCGUGGGGGAGAAAAUGGAUAUUCAUAGACUUUUUAUUUCC
RNAcentral lists this long non-coding RNA (845 nucleotides) under Setaria italica (foxtail millet). Its description in RNAcentral is "long non-coding RNA (SITA_LNC004524)". Lineage: Eukaryota; Viridiplantae; Streptophyta; Magnoliopsida; Poales; Poaceae. The record is from RNAcentral.